RNAcentral lists this RNase P RNA (373 nucleotides) under Chitinophaga rupis. RNAcentral's name for it is "Chitinophaga sp. CS5-B1 Bacterial RNase P class A". It matches the Rfam family "Bacterial RNase P class A". From Rfam's summary of the family: Ribonuclease P (RNase P) is a ubiquitous endoribonuclease, found in archaea, bacteria and eukarya as well as chloroplasts and mitochondria. Its best characterised activity is the generation of mature 5'-ends of tRNAs by cleaving the 5'-leader elements of precursor-tRNAs. Lineage: Bacteria; Pseudomonadati; Bacteroidota; Chitinophagia; Chitinophagales; Chitinophagaceae. The record is from Rfam by way of RNAcentral.
ACUACAAACCGUGCUAUCGUCUUUCCCGUUAAACGGAAGGAAGGAAAGUCCGGACAGCAUAGGGCAACGCACCACCUAACGGGUGGGAUCCCGGCGCAGGCCGGGAUACAGACAGUGCCACAGAAAAUAACCGCCACGGCUUGCCGGGGUAAGGGUGAAAAUGUGGGGUAAGAGCCCACGUUCUGAUAUGGCAACAUGUUGGAAGGGUAAACCUUGCGUGCUGAAAUGCCAUGUAUACGGUCGUUUGAGGGCUGCCCGCCCGAUGACCGAGGGUAGGCAGAUACAGGUAACGCGUGAGCGUUAUCGCAGAUAAAUGAUAGCAGUUCCGGUGCAAACCGGGAAACAGAAUCCGGCUUACAGGUUUGUAGUUUUA